RNAcentral lists this long non-coding RNA (735 nucleotides) under Helianthus annuus (common sunflower). The record is from RNAcentral. Lineage: Eukaryota; Viridiplantae; Streptophyta; Magnoliopsida; Asterales; Asteraceae.
UUUUACAAACAGAUGAGACACAGAGAUAGAGACAGGAAGAUGGAGGACGCUGGCGAUCCGGUUUAAGGCUCCGCCUCCGCCGGUCGCCUCAAAUCGAGGACGUUAGCGCCGUUGGCUUCAUGUAACGAGGACGAUUGGAGUCGGCGACGGCGGUUUGCAGUAGAUCUAGGGUUUUAUUGUGAUUCCAACAUAUCAAUGCUUGCAUGUCGUCUCUUUACCCAGAUCGAUGUUGGCAAAGGUCAAUGUCUAAUUGUCGUGAGCAUCGUUCACAGUCCAAGAAGGCUUCUUCAAAGAUUCAAAGGUUGAAAAACUUUAAAAGCGGCUUGCACAUGAAGAGAAUGUUCAGAAGGUUUUAGAAGGGGUCUUGACCCGAUCGUUAGGGGCUCUUCCUCACCUUCCUCCUUAUCUAUCUCUGGUGGUACAAAAUUUCAUGUUGGUGAUGACAUGUUAGAGUCGGAACAGUUGGUUAAGGAGAUUGCUGAACAUGCCAUGAAAAAGCGAGUCAGGGUUGAAAGGUUGAAGUCUUUGAAGAAAGAAAGAGCUGUUAAAGCUUCACCAGCACAUCAAUGGCCAUCACACUUCUUUUUUUCGUUGUCAUCAUUUUUCAAGGUAAACAUAUCUUAUGCAUGUGAUAUGAUGAAUAUCUGAUUCUAUUCAUUAAUCUUGAUGAUGAUUGGAUUUUUUUAGAAAUCUCUUUUGUGGAAUGAUUACGUUUUCAUAUAUUGAUAUUGAUAG